This 23-nucleotide non-coding RNA is filed under the name Cricetulus griseus (Chinese hamster). Lineage: Eukaryota; Metazoa; Chordata; Mammalia; Rodentia; Cricetidae. The record is from RNAcentral.
ACUCUGGUUUCUCUUCAGAUCGU